Small nuclear RNA from Microtus ochrogaster (prairie vole), 104 nucleotides. The record is from Ensembl. Lineage: Eukaryota; Metazoa; Chordata; Mammalia; Rodentia; Cricetidae.
AUGCUCCCUAUGGCAGCACAUAUAUUGAAACUGGAAUGAUACAGAGAUUAACAUGGUCCCUGCACAAGGAUGCCAUGCAAAUUCAUGAAGCAUUCCUAGUUACA